CCUACGGGAGGCAGCAGUGAGGAAUAUUGGUCAAUGGCCGGAAGGCUGAACCAGCCAUGCCGCGUGAAGGUCAGUGCCCUAUGGGCGUUAAACUUCUUUUGUGCGGGAGCAAUAAUGGUCACGUGUGGCCAGACGAGAGUACCGUACGAAUAAGCAUCGGCUAACUCCGUGCCAGCAGCCGCGGUAAUACGGGGGAUGCAAGCGUUAUCCGGAUUUAUUGGGUUUAAAGGGUGCGUAGGCUGUGAGGUAAGUCAGCGGUGAAAUGCCCCCGCUCAACGGGGUGAAGUGCCAUUGAUACUGCCUGGCUGGAAUGCGGAUGCCGUGGGAGGAAUGUGUGGUGUAGCGGUGAAAUGCAUAGAUAUCACACAGAACACCGAUUGCGAAGGCAUCUCACGAAUCCGCGAUUGACGCUGAUGCACGAAAGUGUGGGUAUCAAACAGGAUUAGAUACCCCAGUAGUC
Molecule: ribosomal RNA, 460 nt
Filed under: uncultured bacterium
Lineage: Bacteria
Description: partial 16S ribosomal RNA
Rfam family: Bacterial small subunit ribosomal RNA
Source: RNAcentral